GUUGCAUGUGGAGUAGUAAGCUUUUGUGUGUAACCAUCCACCUACUUUGUUUUGUUCCAAGUUGAUUAUGUAAAGACUGUUACAGUUCAUUAUGUCUGACAAAAAAACUGUAUUUAAUCAGCUGUGGCUGAACCCAGCUCUGUUUCCAGAUUUUUCAGCAUGGGUGCGUCCUGUAGAUGGGCAUAAUACUCAAGCAUUUUGUAGUGUAUUUAAAAAGACUUUGAAUUUGAGCAAUAUGGGAAAGCAGGCAUUAGUUUCUCAUGGGAAAGGACCAACCCAUUUGAAAAUGGUGGGAGGUGCAACAUGUCAGACUUCUUUGUCUUCUUUUUUCAUAAAGAUGCCAGGUAAUAUUGCAAGUUGUUCUGGAUCAACAGCGAUUUCAGGCGUUAACCUAGACAAGGGACAGAGUAGUGAUUCUUCUUGCUCAAAUAGUGUCUUCACGUCACAAUGCACUCAGCUUCAGAUAAACACGGUCACUAGUCUACAGAAUGUAGUGCCUCAAAGAAAUCUCAACAGUUACGUUUUAAAAGAAGAUGCAAUGAAAGCAGAGAUUAUUUGGAGUCUGCAGGUUGUGUGCAAGAAAAUGUCUUUUAAUUCUUGCAGUAACAUAAGUACUGUAUUUAAAAUGAUGUUUCCCGAUAGUGCAGUUGCCAAUGCAUUUACUUUAGGAGGAGAUAAAGUUUCCUAUGUUCUUGUUCACGGGCUAGCACCGUACUUCCAGCAGAAUAUGCUAGAUCGCCUGAAGUUGUGCGACAAUAUUGUAUUAUGUUUUGAUCAAGCAUUGAACAAAGUAAUUCAGCGAGGACAAAUGGACAUAGUAAUUAGGUUUUGGGAUGAAGAAAAGCAAAUGGUUAUUACCAGAUACUUGAACAGUGUGUUUCUUGAUAGAAGCACAGCUGAACAUUUGCUUAGGAAUUUUUUGGAUGGAAUUGCUCCUUUGUCACCUUCCAAAAUAAUACAGGUGUCUAUGGAUGGCCCCAACGUCAAUUUAAAAUUUUUUAAAUGUCUCCAAGAACACAUCAGAUCCACCACAAGCAAUGAAACUUUCACAUUACUGAAUCUGGGAACGUGUAGUUUGCAUGUGGUUCAUGGUGCUUUGAAAACUGGCAUUGAAUCUGUUGGAUGGGACAUUAGUACCUUGUUGCUACACUUAUAUUUUCUUUUCCAUGAUUCUCCAGCUCGACGAGCAUUAUUUACAGAGCUGACGGGAUGAACAAUAUUUCCUUUGAAGUUCUGUAAUGUACGUUGGCUAGACAAUGCCAAGUGCCUUAAAAGAGUGUUAGAGAUAUGGGAUCAUGUUGCAAAAUUUGUUAAUGUAGCCAAGCUUCCGAAGACAAAAGUUGCAAAAACCUUGAUUGAAGCCGUUCGUGAUCCAUUUGUAAAGUGUAAAUUGGCAUUCUGCAAGACAAUUGCAGAUGAGUGUGAGCCCUUUUUAAGAAGUUUCAAACUUCAAAACCCAUGAGUCCAUUUAUUUUUGAAGCAGUGCAGAAACUUCUGAGAGAAAUUAUGAACCGCUGUGUAAAGCCUGACGUGAUGAAGUUUACUAGCACAAAUCUGCUCUCUGUUGAUGUAAAAAAAUCAGACAAUUUGAUCCUAAGCAAUAAAGUUGAUGUUGGAUUUGCAGCAAAAUGCUUUCUUGCAGAAGUAUCAACCUCUGUAAAGGAAAGAGAAAAGCUUGAGUUUAUGCAUGAAUGUCGGGGUAUGUUGACAGCCAUGACUGCCAAACUUCAAGAAAGAUGUCCUUUUAAGUACAAAGCAGUUAGAGGAUUGUCUUCUCUAGAUCCCUCGAUUAUUCAACACUCACCUUCGCUUGGUCAGAAAAGGUUUUCUUUUCUUUUAGAUGAGCUACUUGCUUCAAGCAAAAUAUAUGAUGAAGUUGCAGAAAAGGCUAAAAAAAUAAUACUGUAACUUGUGUGAUAUGAAGAAAACUGUACUUAGUGAAAUGUUUCAAGAAUACUGCAAAAAUAAUGAGGAGGCAAGACUCGAUAGUACCUAUGGAAACUUCAUGAGAGGAAGUGAAGUGUACAAAAACCUGUGGGAAGUUAUUAAGAUAUGUCUUGUGCUCUCCCAUGGUAAUGCAACUGUGGAAGGGGGUUUUUCAAUUAAUAAGUCACUAUUAAUUGAAAACAUGCUAGAAAAGACAGUGAUAGCACAAUGCCAUAUUCAAGAUGAAGUGCAACAGGCAGGAGGGAUUGAGAAUGUGAAAAUAGAUAAAAGGAUGUUAGAUUAUGUGAAAAGUGCUCGAAAACGAUAUCAAGAUUAUUUGGAACUUAGAAAACAGAAAACAAGUGAGGAAACAACAAGAAAGGGAGAAAAGAGAUAAUUAGAAAAACAAGUGAAAGAGUUAGUAGAAGAAAGAAAAAAAGGAAGCAAUGGAAAGGGAAUUAAAAGAACUUGAAAAAAAAAAGAGCUUUGCUGCAUCUAGUAUUUCAAAUUUUUUGAAUUUAUUUGUUACAUGUUAACAUUUUGUUUUGUAAUUGAAUUACAUAUUUAUUGAAUCACAGUGUCUUGAAUUUUUUAAUAUUCAUGUCAAAAAUGGAAGUUUUAGUAAAGUUUGUGUCUGCUUUCUGAUAUUUAUAUUUAAGGUGUGGUACGGUUAGCUGAAGGAAAGGAGGAGGCCAAUAUAAUUAGGGCACAGUUAAAACAUCAAUAUUUUUUGUAAAACUGAAUUUUUUUUUCUUCGUAAUUGGUCAGGGAAGUUUCAAUGAAUGGUCAGGGAAAAGUCAGGGAAAUAAAUUUGACUCAGGCUGUAGGAACCCUGUACUGAGUACAAUGCAUUUACAUUUAAAUAUUUUAUUAAUACAGUACACUCCCUAUUUAACGCGGUUGUCGGGGGACAUAACUUUUACCCGCGUUGUUGCAUAACCGCGAUGUUUCGAUGUGACCAAGGUCAAAACACCGCCUGUGUUCUAAUAGGUCGGCAAGCACGCACAGAAUAGACGGCCCGCCAUUGUGCGAACUUUGCAUCCGCAGUUUUCACUAAACGCGGGUGAAAAAAAAAUAAUAAAUUUUAAAGAUAAAUAUUAAAUGUUGAAUUUUAUUUUUUAUUUUUCCGCACGCCGCGCACAGUUUGUCGCACGGCCUACGAGCGCGCCACACGCCGCCAUACACACGUGCGGCACACAAGCUGCUGCCAGUCUCGUGGUGUCAGCCACAGUAUCUGCUUCGUCUGAGUGUCCGUAACAAAGUAAGUGCAGUGUGUGCGGUUACACACGAUUCUGUGGUCAAAGUCUUCUAAAUAGAAAGGCCAUAGUAAUACUUCAAACCGAAUAUGAAUCGCAAAGUACCGAGUUUGAUUGACAAAAUAAAAAUUCUAGAUUUACGUACUUACAGAUAGCGUGUCUUUUGCAGAAGUAUGCAGCAGAUACGUGAAAAACGAUUCUAGCAUUCGUACAAUAUAAAAUAAAGAAUCGUCUAUCGUGUAAAGUGGUUAGUUAAACUUUGUUAUCCAUGCUUACAGUAAAUUAUAAAUGGUCACAUGUGGGAUACAAAAAUUGCGCCAAAAUAAUUUUAGCGCAAUAAGUGGCGCCGUAUUAAAAAGUCUGUUAAACGUUGUCUUUACUUAUUCCAUCAAACGCUGUGUCGAGUUGCUGAGUGUGUGUGGCUCGGAUCGGCAAGUGUUAUAUUCCCCAGCCUCUGGUUAAAGGUCGGGAGGCCGCUACACAUAAACAUUUCCGGGGCUUGUUUACUACCUCACGGCAAAAGUGGUACAGUAUGGUUCACGUAAGUAUUGGACCACUGGGAAUUCCUCGGCAAAGAUUAAAAAUACGCUAGCUGAUUUACUUUACUAUUUAAUGUUAAAACAUUAUACAAAAGUAAAAAGAUGAACGUGUAUAAUACAACGAAUAAUAUUACGUCUGUAGGUUCAAGUUGUAACAAAACAUUUAUAUGUCUCCGCUUGUCAACACACGUGACCACGAGAAGUGUGCAGACGGAAAUGAGUGAACUACUCAAGGUCACCAGACUUCCCCCCUUUCGUCUUAAUCGCCCCUCUCAUCACUGGCGCUUAUAUUCCACUCCUCCCGUCUACCCGGGUGUCUUGGUCGCAUAUUCUCGGCUCGCCUCUCCCCUCCCAGCGCUGGCCGUCAACCAAACCUAUCCAAAAUCAAUCCCCAGCCGAGUCACGCUGGAUGAUGUCGCUAGACGGUGGGCUUUAUCGGGUCCCCUGUCCGAUGCUUUAUUUGUGGGUUAAAAAAAAUGUUAAGAACUAGUGUUUCAGAAAAUAACACUGGACUGGAUUGGACCAUAAUUUGAAAACACUACAAGAUAGAGGAAUAAUGUACGGAGAUAUCUUGUUUAGAAUUUCACUGCGGACAUUUUCUACGCCUAGGCUUUUUUCUGCCCGAUGCUUAGUUUGUGAGUUACAACGCAAAAUUAUCCUAAUCGGCUGUCAACCAUUUAUUCCAUUAUUAUUACAGUAGAAACUCGUUAAUCCGUGACGCGCUAAUUCGAGAACCGGAUAAUCCGGGACGAUUUAAAAGUGCAUAAAAAAAAGAGAAGUAAAAAUUGUCAGCGCUUAAAAUUAACGUCACGCGGGCCGGCGGCCGGCAAACACUGCAAGCCUUCGCGUGGGCCGCCAAACUCUGCAACGCUGUUUGUACCGACCCUUUGUGUCGUCCCCCUUUCACCUGUCACAUUUGUCACUCUUUAAACUUGAGGGGGAUGUCUUGACUUCUGCUUCCCGUCUCCCUUUGUUUGUUUCCACCCGCCAACGCACGGCAGGCGCCUGGCGAGUGACGUGUCUGGCUGGCAUUCGGCUGGACGAUGGUGGAGAGGGGGGGUGCAAGCUCCCAAGGUCCAGCCAGCAGUGGCGAGAGUGAG
Bacillus rossius redtenbacheri is the source of this 4821-nucleotide RNA transcript. It is a transcript of the gene named methionyl-tRNA formyltransferase, mitochondrial, with no coding region annotated. The transcript is spliced from 2 exons. The record is from RefSeq and is a predicted model, not a curated record. NCBI's taxonomy places the organism in Eukaryota, Metazoa, Arthropoda, Insecta, Phasmatodea, Bacillidae.